Molecule: ribosomal RNA, 351 nt
Filed under: Ixodes scapularis (black-legged tick)
Lineage: Eukaryota; Metazoa; Arthropoda; Arachnida; Ixodida; Ixodidae
Description: partial 16S ribosomal RNA
Source: RNAcentral
GGUAUUGAAAUAAGAUUUUAAAUGAGUGCUAAGAGAAUGAUUAGACAAUUAAAAACUUUCUUUAAUUAAAUAAUUAAAUUUAAUUUUUUUGUGCAAAAGCAAAAAUAAAAUUUAGGGACAAGAAGACCCUAUGAAUUUUUAUUAUUAAUAUUUUGCAAUUAAAUUAUUAAUAAUUUAAUUGGGGCGAUAAAAAAAGAAUAAAUAUCUUUUUAAUUAUUAAAUAAGUUCCGUUUUUAGCGAUUAAAUGAAAAAAAUACUCUAGGGAUAACAGCGUAAUAAUUUUGGAUAGUUCAUAUAGAUAAAAUAGUUUGCGACCUCGAUGUUGGAUUAGGAUUCUUUUUUGGUGUAGAA